RNAcentral lists this ribosomal RNA (491 nucleotides) under uncultured bacterium. RNAcentral's name for it is "partial 16S ribosomal RNA". It matches the Rfam family "Bacterial small subunit ribosomal RNA", at positions 29 to 506 of the family's 1533-position model. The record is from RNAcentral.
AGUGAACGCUGGCGGUAGGCCUAACACAUGCAAGUCGAACGGCAGCACAGUAAGAGCUCGCUCUUACGGGUGGCGAGUGGCGGACGGGUGAGGAAUACAUCGGAAUCUACUUUUUCGUGGGGGAUAACGUAGGGAAACUUACGCUAAUACCGCAUACGAUCUACGGGUGAAAGCAGGGGAUCUUCGGACCUUGCGCGAUUGAAUGAGCCGAUGUCGGAUUAGCUAGUUGGCGGGGUAAAGGCCCACCAUGGCAACGAUCCGUAGCUGGUCUGAGAGGAUGAUCAGCCACACUGGAACUGGGACACGGUCCAGACUCCUACGGGAGGCAGCGGUGGGGAAUAUUGGACAAGGGGCGCAAGCCUGAUCCAGCCAUACCGCGUGGGUGAAGAAGGCCUUCGGGUGGUAAAGCCCUUUUGUUGGGAAAGAAAAGCAGCAGGUUAAUACCCCGCUGUUCUGACGGUACCAAAAGAAUAAGCACCGGCUAACUUCGU